ACAGCUGAGCCGUCGCUCAGCUCAGCUGUCCUGUCUGUGUGGCCGCUGUGCUGCAGUGGGGACGGGAGUGCAGGGCAGGAGGUCCGCGUGUGCUACUUGGGGAGGAAGUUUCAGUUUUAUUAAGCUGCUGUAUGGUUUGAUUGGAAACAGGGACCGGCGUCCUAUUAGUGCAUUGGUGGAGGGUAUUUAAACGAGAUUCGGAUGUUUAGAUGACUGAGCGACUUUGUCCACUUCAACGGUUAUGCUGAGGUAACCCCGGGACGCGGAGGAGCUGCCACGGAGUGGGCUGAUGCACUAAUCGGACGGGAUCUGAGUGAGAGAAAAAGGAGCCCUGACCGCUGAGCGAAGCGGAGGAGGAUACACGGACUUACUAGACGCUGGCUCCGGUGACUCAGGGCGGCAUUGUGAGGCUCCGGUUUUCGGUGACUCGGCCGGAGAAGGCGGUCCAUGAGGUAAGAGUGGCAGCAGAAAGGGAGGACAGAUAGGAAGAGACUUAGCCCCAGCUACGCCUUCUGGGUGGCAGCAUCAACCUGACAACCAACCCGACCAGAGCAGCAGGGAGGCAGGAUCAGUGAGAGAGGAAGGGGCUACCGACACCCCAUAUAAGACAAGGGGUUGCUCCUAAGAAUCUGUUAAUGAGACGGCUUCAGGCUGAAGGGGAAUUAGAAGGAAUACCCCAAUAGGAAAUGCUAUAAAAGGGCUUUCCUAAUAGCAAGGGCUUUACACUGAAGGGACUAUGUUCCAGUGCUAUACGUCAGGUUCCUAUAAGUGAGCAACAUAAAGUGACAUUUAAGGUAUAGUUAUACUGCAAUUGACUGUCAGUUCUGGAUCCUACACUCCCAUCCUAAAUAGAAUUCAGUCAGCAAAGAUUAAUACUUUAUCCAUACACUGAGAAACACUUACCAAUGACUCAGGGUCAGCACAGAGAUUAGUAACCAGAUGCAGAAUCUCUCCGGUCAGAUUUUCCUAUUAUCUACUCCCAGAAACUUCUCUCACCAGUGGUGACCAACUAAAAUAAAUAAAAGUUUAUUUUACAUUUCUUCUCGAGUUUCAUCUAUGGAGGAGUCAGAGUGUUAAAUGGAGUCAGACAAAGUACAGCUAUUAGGAGAAAGUUACAAGCCAAUUAAUCUGGACUACGUUUCAGUUGACAUGCUUGUCUUAUUUAUUUGUUGGCACUCAUUCAUUUCUAAUUAGAGAGGGAGAAAUUACAGAAGUUACGAGUGAGAGAGAUUGUGACGGAGGAUUGCAAAACUCGGAUUGGGAAUAGUCUUACAAGAAACAAGAAAUUGUUGCUAAUUGCGUCUCCUUCUUCAAUGCCUAAUCAACAAGAGACUUCAUGUGCACCAACGUUAUGGCCAUUAGGUACUACACAGUAUAGAUAUUUAAGAGACCAGUCAUAUGGGGUGAUUUAGACUCAAGACUACAGUAUAUACAGCUGGAACCACUGUGAGGUUUUGUUGAUUACAAUAUUGCUAUUUAUAAGGAUUAUUAAAUGUUGAUAUUUGUGUUGUCACUAAUCCAAAUAUUCUUCCUGAUUAGGAUGGAGUUCUGCGGAGAUCGACUGUUGCUGUAAAAUAAAAAAAAACUUAAUUUUAUUUCCUUUACGCAAUGAUAUUGUGAUGCAAACUCUGAACUACUUAAUUGUAAUAUUUCUAAGUCUUGUGGUAAGCAAUACUGAAGGGUAUAUUUACACGCUGUUGUCAUAAAAUAAACCGAAAAAUAUGUUUUAAUCCCGUA
Pseudophryne corroboree (corroboree frog) is the source of this 1737-nucleotide long non-coding RNA. RefSeq lists it as uncharacterized. Lineage: Eukaryota; Metazoa; Chordata; Amphibia; Anura; Myobatrachidae. The transcript is spliced from 3 exons. The record is from RefSeq and is a predicted model, not a curated record.